This 492-nucleotide ribosomal RNA is filed under the name uncultured bacterium. RNAcentral describes it as "partial 16S ribosomal RNA". It matches the Rfam family "Bacterial small subunit ribosomal RNA", at positions 29 to 507 of the family's 1533-position model. The record is from RNAcentral.
AGUGAACGCUGGCGGCAGGCCUAACACAUGCAAGUCGAACGGCAGCACAGUGAAGCUUUCUCCUUGGGGGGCGCGUGGCGGACGGGUGAGGAAUACACGUGGAUCUCUACAGUUGCGGGGGAGAUCGCGUGGAGACUCAUACUCUAACACCACACGCGCUCUAGGGGAGAGAGCGGGACAUCUUCGGCCGUCGCGAGUGUGUGUGCGCCGAUGUCGGAUUCGCUUGUUGGCGGGGUAAAGGCCCACCAAGGCGACGAUCCGUAGCUGGUCUGAGAGGAUGAUCAGCCACACUGGAACUGAGACACGGCCCAGACUCCUACGGGAGGCAGCAGUGGGGAAUAUUGGACAAUGGGCGCAAGCCUGAUCCAGCCAUGCCGCGUGAGUGAAGAAGGCCCUCGGGUUGUAAAGCUCUUUUGUCCGGGAAGAAAAGCAUCGGGCUAAUACCUCGGUGUUCUGACGGUACCCAAAGAAUAAGCACCGGCUAACUUCGUG